RNAcentral lists this unclassified non-coding RNA (395 nucleotides) under Ayapana amygdalina. RNAcentral describes it as "partial contains external transcribed spacer and 18S ribosomal RNA". The record is from RNAcentral. Lineage: Eukaryota; Viridiplantae; Streptophyta; Magnoliopsida; Asterales; Asteraceae.
UUGGUUUGUUAUUGGUGGUCGGCUCAAUUGCUAACUUCCACCUAGCAUGCCUCUGUUCAUUUGUCCGUUAAGGCCUUAGGUGCCUGAAAAUCGUGGGUUUCGUGUGUUUCCUACCUAUCGUAUGGUAUUGAUUUGGCUUAUCAAUGUCUUGUUCGUCUUUUGUCAUGCUUAUGAAAUCAGAUGAACCCUAAACCAGUCUCUUUGAAACACAUCAUUAACGCUUGUAAUGACGUAGUGGCGCAUUGAGCCUUGGUUGGUCUCUUCGAUGUGGUACCUAAUGUAGGUGUGGGUCUCAUUGAUCCCUGGUUUGUGUUUAUGCUUUGUAAAAUGACAGCUUGACACGUGUUGCCUUGUAACAGCGUGUUGGGCUUCGUCUAAGAGGAGAGUUACCUGGU